GAUGAACGCUGGCGGCGUGCUUAACACAUGCAAGUCGAACGAUGAAGCUCAGCUUGUUGGGUGGAUUAGUGGCGAACGGGUGAGUAACACGUGAGUAACCUGCCCUUAACUCUGGGAUAAGCCUGGGAAACUAGGUCUAAUACCGGAUAGGAGCGCCUACCGCAUGGUGGGUGUUGGAAAGAUUUAUCGGUUUUGGAUGGACUCGCGGCCUAUCAGCUUGUUGGUGAGGUAAUGGCUCACCAAGGCGACGACGGGUAGCCGGCCUGAGAGGGUGACCGGCCACACUGGGACUGAGACACGGCCCAGACUCCUACGGGAGGCAGCAGUGGGGAAUAUUGCACAAUGGGCGAAAGCCUGAUGCAGCGACGCCGCGUGAGGGAUGACGGCCUUCGGGUUGUAAACCUCUUUCAGUAGGGAAGAAGCGAAAGUGACGGUACCUGCAGAAGAAGCACCGGCUAACUACGUG
Molecule: ribosomal RNA, 466 nt
Filed under: uncultured bacterium
Lineage: Bacteria
Description: partial 16S ribosomal RNA
Rfam family: Bacterial small subunit ribosomal RNA
Source: RNAcentral